RNAcentral lists this ribosomal RNA (441 nucleotides) under uncultured bacterium. RNAcentral's name for it is "partial 16S ribosomal RNA". It matches the Rfam family "Bacterial small subunit ribosomal RNA", at positions 338 to 795 of the family's 1533-position model. The record is from RNAcentral.
CCUACGGGCGGCAGCAGUGGGGAAUAUUGGACAAUGGGGGGAACCCUGAUCCAGCGACGCCGCGUGAGUGAAGAAGUAUUUCGGUAUGUAAAGCUCUAUCAGCAGGGAAGAAAAUGACGGUACCUGACUAAGAAGCCCCGGCUAACUCCGUGCCAGCAGCCGCGGUAAUACGUAGGGAGCAAGCGUUGUUCGGAAUGACUGGGCGUAAAGGGUGCGUAGGCGGUUAUACAAGUUAGAAGUGAAAUACCCAGGGCUUAACUCGGGUGCUGCUUCUAAAACUGUAAGACUUGAGUGCAGUAGAGGUUAGCGGAAUUCCUAGUGUAGCGGUGAAAUGCGUAGAUAUUAGGAGGAACACCAGUGGCGAAGGCGGCUUACUGGACUGUAACUGACGUUGAGGCUCGAAAGCGUGGGGAGCAAACAGGAUUAGAUACCCGGGUAGUC